Molecule: non-coding RNA, 26 nt
Filed under: Drosophila melanogaster (fruit fly)
Lineage: Eukaryota; Metazoa; Arthropoda; Insecta; Diptera; Drosophilidae
Source: RNAcentral
AUAAGGUAGAGAAAUUGAUGCUGUCU